UGGGGAAUUUUGGACAAUGGGGGAAACCCUGAUCCAGCCAUCCCGCGUGUGCGAUGAAGGCCUUCGGGUUGUAAAGCACUUUUGGCAGGAAAGAAACGUCGCGGGUUAAUACCCCGCGAAACUGACGGUACCUGCAGAAUAAGCACCGGCUAACUACGUGCCAGCAGCCGCGGUAAUACGUAGGGUGCAAGCGUUAAUCGGAAUUACUGGGCGUAAAGCGUGCGCAGGCGGUUCGGAAAGAAAGAUGUGAAAUCCCAGAGCUUAACUUUGGAACUGCAUUUUUAACUACCGGGCUAGAGUGUGUCAGAGGGAGGUGGAAUUCCGCGUGUAGCAUGAAAUGCGUAGAUAUGCGGNGGAACACCGAUGGCGAAGGCAGCCUCCUGGGAUAACACUGACGCUCAUGCACGAAAGCGUGGGGAGCAAACAGGAUUAGAUACCCUGGUAGUCACGCCCUAAACGAUGUCAACUAGCUGUUGGGGCCUUCGGCCUUGGUAGCGCAGCUAACGCG
Molecule: ribosomal RNA, 508 nt
Filed under: uncultured bacterium
Lineage: Bacteria
Description: partial 16S ribosomal RNA
Rfam family: Bacterial small subunit ribosomal RNA
Source: RNAcentral